Non-coding RNA from Pelobates cultripes (western spadefoot toad), 232 nucleotides. The record is from the annotation of a GenBank genome assembly. Lineage: Eukaryota; Metazoa; Chordata; Amphibia; Anura; Pelobatidae.
UUAAAGCGGCACUGUCAUGCCGAAUCCCGUUUUUUUUAACCCCCCUCCCGCCUCCACUACAUCCAAUUGACCCACUAGUCACCCCCAAAUGCCCCUAAGCCCCCCACAUUACCUAUUUUUAAUCCUUAUUUUCUGCCCCGAUCUUGAUUCAGGGCGCCGCCAUCUUUGUGUGGGUAGAUGAAGUCCCUGUGGGACACGUCAUCAGCCCACACUAGACAGACUGUGAGAUUCC